UUAUGACUCCGACGACUCCACCGCCCGCCUCAUCGGCGUGGAGUAUAUAAUAUCAGAGCGAAUUCUUGACGCCCUUCCACCUGAUGAGCAGAAGCUUUGGCAUUCUCACGGGUACGAGAUCACAUCAGGGCUGUGGAUGAACCCUCGAGUUCCUGAGAU
This is a non-coding RNA of Sesamum indicum (sesame), 159 nucleotides long. The record is from RefSeq and is a predicted model, not a curated record. Lineage: Eukaryota; Viridiplantae; Streptophyta; Magnoliopsida; Lamiales; Pedaliaceae.